Molecule: transfer RNA, 68 nt
Filed under: Marmota monax (woodchuck)
Lineage: Eukaryota; Metazoa; Chordata; Mammalia; Rodentia; Sciuridae
Description: tRNA.Ala
Source: RNAcentral
GGACUAUAGCUCAGUGGUAGAGUGCUUGCCUAGCAUGUGUGAGGCACUGGGUUCAAUCCUCAGCACCA